RNAcentral lists this unclassified non-coding RNA (410 nucleotides) under uncultured Chytridiomycota. Its description in RNAcentral is "sequence contains ITS2". The stretch from base 1 to 150 matches the Rfam family "5.8S ribosomal RNA". The record is from RNAcentral. Lineage: Eukaryota; Fungi; Chytridiomycota.
AACUUUUGGCAAUGGAUCACUUGGCUCUCGCAACGAUGAAGAACGCAGCGAAAUGCGAUACGUAGUGUGAAUUGCAGAAUCUCGUGAAUCAUCGAAUCUUUGAACGCAACUUGCACUCUGUUUCGGCAGAGUAUGCCUGUUUGAGAAUCUAUAGAAUUCUUUGGCAAGUUUUGCCGAGAUAUGAGCGUUUUAACUAUGACUUUGUCAGUGAUAAAUCGCUUUAAAUCUAUAGCUCAGCUGCAGACAUGCAAUGCUUGACAGUCGAGUGAAUGAAGGGGUCACCCACAUCCUCGAUCGACAGCUAGUCUGUGGCCCGAGUCCACUAAAUAUUAAUUUAACUUAAUUUAAAUCUUGGUCUCAAAUCAGGUAGGAAGACCCGCUGAACUUAAGCAUAUCAAUAAGCGGAGGCU